This 609-nucleotide ribosomal RNA is filed under the name uncultured bacterium. Its description in RNAcentral is "bacterial SSU rRNA". It matches the Rfam family "Bacterial small subunit ribosomal RNA", at positions 8 to 613 of the family's 1533-position model. The record is from RNAcentral.
AGAGUUUGAUUAUGGCUCAGGAUGAACGCUGGCGGCGUGCUUAACACAUGCAAGUCGAACGGGGAUGCUUAUGGAAGGAGUGCUUGCAUUCCGGAAGGAUGUAUCUUAGUGGCGGACGGGUGAGUAACGCGUGGGUAACCUGCCCCAUACCGGGGGAUACCACCUGGAAACAGGUGCUAAUACCGCAUAAGCGCACGGGAGCGCAUGCUCCUGUGUGAAAAACUCCGGUGGUAUGGGAUGGACCCGCGUCUGAUUAGCCAGUUGGCAGGGUAACGGCCUACCAAAGCGACGAUCAGUAGCCGGCCUGAGAGGGUGGACGGCCACAUUGGGACUGAGACACGGCCCAAACUCCUACGGGAGGCAGCAGUGGGGAAUAUUGCACAAUGGGGGAAACCCUGAUGCAGCGACGCCGCGUGAGUGAAGAAGUAUUUCGGUAUGUAAAGCUCUAUCAGCAGGAACGAGACAAGACGGUACCUGACUAAGAAGCCCCGGCUAACUACGUGCCAGCAGCCGCGGUAAUACGUAGGGGGCAAGCGUUAUCCGGAAUCACUGGGUGUAAAGGGAGCGUAGACGGCUGAACAAGCCUGAAGUGAAAGGCGGGGGCCCAAC